ACGCUCGACACCUACGGAGGCAGCAGUGGGGAUAUUGCACAAUGGGGGGAACCCGUGAUGCAGCAACGCCGCGUGAGGGAAGAAGGUUUUCGGAUUGUAAACCUCUGUCUUUGGUGACGAUAAUGACGGUAGCCAAGGAGGAAGCUCCGGCUAACUACGUGCCAGCAGCCGUGGUAAUCUGAGCGGGCUGGCAAGGC
This 197-nucleotide ribosomal RNA is filed under the name uncultured bacterium. RNAcentral's name for it is "partial 16S ribosomal RNA". It matches the Rfam family "Bacterial small subunit ribosomal RNA", at positions 328 to 539 of the family's 1533-position model. The record is from RNAcentral.